This 493-nucleotide ribosomal RNA is filed under the name uncultured bacterium. RNAcentral describes it as "partial 16S ribosomal RNA". It matches the Rfam family "Bacterial small subunit ribosomal RNA", at positions 29 to 523 of the family's 1533-position model. The record is from RNAcentral.
AUUGAACGCUGGCGGCAUGCUUUACACAUGCAAGUCGAACGGUAACAGGUUAAGCUGACGAGUGGCGAACGGGUGAGUAAUGCAUCGGAACGUGCCCGGUCGUGGGGGAUAACGCAGCGAAAGCUGCGCUAAUACCGCAUACGAUCUGAGGAUGAAAGCGGGGGACCGUAAGGCCUCGUGCGAUCGGAGCGGCCGAUGUCAGAUUAGGUAGUUGGUGGGGUAAAGGCUCACCAAGCCGACGAUCUGUAGCUGGUCUGAGAGGACGACCAGCCACACUGGGACCGAGACACGGCCCAGACUCCUACGGGAGGCAGCAGUGGGGAAUUUUGGACAAUGGGCGCAAGCCUGAUCCAGCAAUGCCGCGUGCAGGAAGAAGGCCUUCGGGUUGUAAACUGCUUUUGUACGGAGCGAAAAGGCUCUCUCUAAUACGGAGGGCUCAUGACGGUACCGUAAGAAUAAGCACCGGCUAACUACGUGCCAGCCGCCGCCGUAA